RNAcentral lists this ribosomal RNA (468 nucleotides) under uncultured bacterium. RNAcentral's name for it is "partial 16S ribosomal RNA". It matches the Rfam family "Bacterial small subunit ribosomal RNA", at positions 28 to 507 of the family's 1533-position model. The record is from RNAcentral.
GACGAACGCUGGCGGCGUGCUUAACACAUGCAAGUCGAACGGAAAGGCCCUUCUUUUGUGGUGUGCUCGAGUGGCGAACGGGUGAGUAACACGUGAGUAACCUGCGCUUGACUUUGGGAUAACUUCAGGAAACUGGGGCUAAUACCGGAUAGGUGCUCCUGCUGCAUUGUGUGGGUUGGAAAGUUUCGGCGGUUGGGGAUGGACUCGCGGCUUAUCAGCUUGUUGGUGGGGUGGUGGCUUACCAAGGCUUUGACGGGUAGCCGGCCUGAGAGGGUGACCGGCCAAAUUGGGACUGAGAUACGGCCCAGACUCCUACGGGAGGCAGCAGUGGGGAAUAUUGCACGAUGGGCGGAAGCCUGAUGCAGCAACGCCGCGUGCGGGAUGACGGCCGUCGGGUUGUAAACCGCUUUCGCCUGUGACGAAGCGUGAGUGACGGUAAUGGGUAAAGAAGCACCGGCUAACUACGUG